This 420-nucleotide ribosomal RNA is filed under the name uncultured bacterium. RNAcentral describes it as "bacterial SSU rRNA". It matches the Rfam family "Bacterial small subunit ribosomal RNA", at positions 1097 to 1533 of the family's 1533-position model. The record is from RNAcentral.
CGCAACCCCUGCUUUCAGUUGCUACCGGGUCAUGCCGAGCACUCUGAAAGGACUGCCCAGGAUAACGGGGAGGAAGGUGGGGAUGACGUCAAGUCAGCAUGGCCUUUAUGGCUGGGGCUACACACGUACUACAAUGGCGACUACAAAGGGCUGCGAAGCGGCGACGUGAAGCAAAUCUCAAAAAAGUCGCCUCAGUUCGGAUUGGAGUCUGCAACUCGACUCCAUGAAGUUGGAAUCGCUAGUAAUCGUGGAUCAGAACGCCACGGUGAAUACGUUCCUGGGCCUUGUACACACCGCCCGUCACACCACGAAAGCCUGUUGGACCAGAAGUCGCUAGACCAACCUUAGGGAAGUAGGCGCCAAAGGUCUGACCGGUGAUUGGGGUGAAGUCGUAACAAGGUAAAGGGCGAAUUCCAGCAC